This 88-nucleotide transfer RNA is filed under the name Thermodesulfovibrionales bacterium. RNAcentral describes it as "tRNA-Ser". It matches the Rfam family "tRNA". Rfam says of the family: Transfer RNA (tRNA) molecules are approximately 80 nucleotides in length. Their secondary structure includes four short double-helical elements and three loops (D, anti-codon, and T loops). Further hydrogen bonds mediate the characteristic L-shaped molecular structure. tRNAs have two regions of fundamental functional importance: the anti-codon, which is responsible for specific mRNA codon recognition, and the 3' end, to which the tRNAs corresponding amino acid is attached (by aminoacyl-tRNA synthetases). tRNAs cope with the degeneracy of the genetic code in two manners: having more than one tRNA (with a specific anti-codon) for a particular amino acid; and 'wobble' base-pairing, i.e. permitting non-standard base-pairing at the 3rd anti-codon position. The record is from RNAcentral. Lineage: Bacteria; Pseudomonadati; Nitrospirota; Thermodesulfovibrionia; Thermodesulfovibrionales.
GGAAGGAUGGCAGAGUGGCCGAAUGCGGCGGUCUCGAAAACCGUUAUCCCGUAAGGGAUCGCAGGUUCAAAUCCUGCUCCUUCCGCCA